Long non-coding RNA from Trifolium pratense (red clover), 629 nucleotides. RefSeq lists it as uncharacterized. The record is from RefSeq and is a predicted model, not a curated record. NCBI's taxonomy places the organism in Eukaryota, Viridiplantae, Streptophyta, Magnoliopsida, Fabales, Fabaceae. The transcript is spliced from 3 exons.
CAUUAUUUUUUUUAUUUUGAAUCAACUGAUAUCGAAGAGUUAUCCUGUUGCAGCAGUGUACAAGUUGCAGGAAUUUUAUGUUGAUUUCCAGAUUCAAACAAUCAAAGUGAAAGACACAAGAGAAACAAUCUAGAGUUUGUAUAUUUGAUUUUGGAGACAAGGAAAUGAAGCACAGAAUAAACAAAUAAAGAGGUGAAAGCUUCCACCAUAUCCAGGCCUAGGGCUAGAAGACUGCAUGUUUCAUUGCAGUUUAAGUAUUUAUACGACUCAGGUUAUUGACUAGAAGGGGGAAUGCUAAAAAUCUUUAGAUAAUUUUAAUUUUAAUCUUUUCAUGUAACCUACACAUCAUCUAACCUAAGCAGCACUUUAAUCUUUUCAAAAGCAUGUAUGGAUAUAAACUUACAAUGAAGUAGAAUAAUUAAACCAUAUUAAGGGGGCUUUGUAUUGAUACACUUUACUUAUUGUUUUAUUUAAGAUGUGAUGUCUUCCUUCCAGGCAAGAAGAUCUCUAAACAGGGGAGAAAAAAUGCCUUAUUAAAUGAAUAUUAAAUUCAAUAAGAAUUGUAAUUGAGGGUGAUUUUUUUUCACUAUUUGUUUCAUAACAUUAUUUGUUAUUACCCAUGCAUUAUA